Molecule: transfer RNA, 66 nt
Filed under: Tarsius dentatus (Dian's tarsier)
Lineage: Eukaryota; Metazoa; Chordata; Mammalia; Primates; Tarsiidae
Also listed under: 2 other names
Description: tRNA-Pro
Source: RNAcentral
UCAAGGAAGAGGUUCACACCCCACCACCAGCCCCCAAAGCUGAAAUUCUUCUUAAACUAUUCCCUG